This 208-nucleotide unclassified non-coding RNA is filed under the name Hevea brasiliensis (rubber tree). Lineage: Eukaryota; Viridiplantae; Streptophyta; Magnoliopsida; Malpighiales; Euphorbiaceae. The record is from RNAcentral.
AAAAAGAAAAGAAAAGAAAACCCUAGUCCCCUGACCUCCACCACCCCCUUCACUAUUUUCCAUUUUUUCACUCCCAGGUUCCCGUAGCUCCCCACAAGCUUCUUCUUCAACAUCCCUCCGAUCCAUCCUUCUCCAUUUCUACUGCGACUGCGGAAGCCGCCCCCCGUGUUAUACUGUUAGGUCUAAGUUGUCACCAUUUCCAUGGCGG